RNAcentral lists this ribosomal RNA (483 nucleotides) under Procambarus sp. 1 JEB-2007. RNAcentral describes it as "partial 16S ribosomal RNA". It matches the Rfam family "Archaeal large subunit ribosomal RNA", at positions 2021 to 2712 of the family's 2987-position model. The record is from RNAcentral. Lineage: Eukaryota; Metazoa; Arthropoda; Malacostraca; Decapoda; Cambaridae.
GACCGUGCGAAGGUAGCAUAAUCAUUAGUUUUUUAAUUGAAGGCUAGAAUGAAUGGUUGGACAAGAAAUAAUCUGUCUUAAUUAAAUAUAUUGAAUUUAACUUUUAAGUGAAAAGGCUUAGAUAAUCUGAAGGGACGAUAAGACCCUAUAAAACUUUAUAUUUAUAAGUUAAUAGUUAAUUUUAUUUAAAUAUAUUAUAUUUAAAUAUUUUGUUGGGGUGACAAGGAUAAAAUUAAAAAUAACUGUCCUUUUUUAUAACAGUAAUGUUUGUAUUAAUGAUCCUUAAAUGGAUUUAAGAUUAAGUUACUUUAGGGAUAACAGCGUAAUUUUCUUUAAGAGUUCUUAUCGACAAGAAAGUUUGCGACCUCGAUGUUGAAUUAAAAGUUCUUUAUAGAGUAGAGACUAUAAAAGAGGGUCUGUUCGACCUUUAAAUUUUUACAUGAUUUGAGUUCAGACCGGUGUGAGCCAGGUUGGUUUCUAUCU